AGCGAAGCUCUUGAUCGAAGCCCGAGUAAACGGCGGCCGUAACUAUAACGGUCCUAAGGUAGCGAAAUUCCUUGUCGGUUAAAUACCGACCUGCAUGAAUGGCGUAACGAGAUGGGAGCUGUCUCAAAGAGGGAUCCAGUGAAAUUGUAGUGGAGGUGAAAAUUCCUCCUACCCGCGGCAAGACGGAGAGACCCCGUGGACCUUUACUACAGCUUGACACUGCUACUUGGAUAAGAAUGUGCAGGAUAGGUGGGAGGCUUUGAGUAUAUGACGCCAGUUGUAUAUGAGCCAUUGUUGAGAUACCACUCUUUCUUAUUUGGGUAGCUAACCAGCUUGAGUUAUCCUCAAGUGGGACAAUGUCUGGUGGGUAGUUUGACUGGGGCGGUCGCCUCCCAAAUAAUAACGGAGGCUUACAAAGGUUGGCUCAGAACGGUUGGAAAUCGUUCGUAGAGUAUAAAGGUAUAAGCCAGCUUAACUGCAAGACAUACAAGUCAAGCAGAGACGAAAGUCGGUCU
RNAcentral lists this ribosomal RNA (515 nucleotides) under Campylobacter jejuni. Its description in RNAcentral is "bacterial LSU rRNA". It matches the Rfam family "Bacterial large subunit ribosomal RNA", at positions 1898 to 2412 of the family's 2925-position model. Lineage: Bacteria; Pseudomonadati; Campylobacterota; Epsilonproteobacteria; Campylobacterales; Campylobacteraceae. The record is from RNAcentral.